UAGUCAAACUUUUGAAAAAUGUUUGAGCGUGCUGAAAUUAAAUUCACAGCUAUAAAAUUAUAGAAUAAAAUGCAAAAAGUGCAGUCAUGUUUGCUCAUUCUUUUUUAUUCAACGGCUGCGGCCGGUAAUUAUAUCCAAUCCAAUGCGGAUGUAUGAAAAUCCGACUCGAUCGACCAGUUAGUCGCUGCAACGCAUUUCACAACGUGCGCCGGUGCGGCGAGCAACUCUUUUUUAUUGUAUUACGAUAUGUUUGCUUUAGUGAAGUUUCUCAAAGAAUUCGACAAGAACCGGCUUUACGUUGGGACUGCCAGUUCGAUUUUAGACUUUCAUCCUCGCAGCACAGAGGAUUUUAACAACAGGACUGUGUACUCGGUAUUCUGGGUUGACGAAGAGAACCACGAGAAUACGCGGGCCUACGAGGCCCAAGUUCUGCUGCUGGCCGAAUCCCGGGAGGUGCUGGAAAAUAAGAAGUCGACCAAGAGAGUGCCCAUGCCAAAAAUACAAAUGGAAGACGACAGUGAGGAUGAAAGGCCUAGUGCCAAGAAGCAAGACAAGCAGGUAUAACAAAAGCGCAAAAUUGCGCAAGCAAAUGCAAAAACUGCAAACUAUAGUAGUAUUCUGGCAAAGCAUGUGCAAAAUGCAAAAAAAAAAGCCAGGGGUGAGUCAUGCAGCCAGCCCAAUCAACAAAGCCAUGAAAGUGUUUCUGUACACUGUGUAUUUGCAAGUGAUAAUCAUCUCAUUGAUUCAAUUUUUCAGAGCCUGAAAUCCAAUUGGGAGUGCAACAGUUCAUCAUCUGAGGAUGAAUCUCUGAUAUCCGAGUCAGAGCUGCAAAAAGAAAUAGCCAAAAAAAUGUAGAAAGAAAUAGCUCAAAAAUGAAAAAAAGAAUCAAAUCUUGCUGGAGCAAGUGGCAUCACUCCAGCGGUGCUUAGAAAGCAAAAUAUUUCAAGUGGAAGGCAUUCAUGCCAAGCAGGAGCAUAAUGCCAAAGGCCAUGACAGGAUGGGUGAGCUACUUUAUUUCUUCUGUACUUCUGGGACGAUUUAUGGAACACUUGUAUUAUUUCUAAGCAACUCUGUUUUCUUUAGUGCUUUACUAAGUGUUUUACUGUACUUCAUUCCAGAACAAGCCACUUGCACCAGGCAAGAUUAGUACAUGGAGAGCUGUGGUUUGGCAGAAAAUAUUUUUUUGCUUCGCUUUGUGUGAUUAUAGCCUUAAUUACUAGGAAGAUAAACUUUUUAUAAUGACCUAAAAUUCUAAUAUCUAAGCACAAUGAUUUGAUGCUUUUUCUGCAGAAGCAGAUCACGUAGGACAAAGUCCAAUGACAGAAGGUAAGCGCUUUCAGUUCCUCUCACAUUCAGCUAAAAGCAUUUUUAGGCAAAUGAAUUUUCAGUAAACUCUUUACAGAGAUGUGUGCCUGUGUCAUAUGGGCACUCUUGAGCCAAAAGCCUUUGAAAAAUGAUUCUGAAGAAAGGUAGAGAGCAUAUGAACACAUAACCCGUUGCAGACGCUCAGUGGAGAUGGAAUUCUGCUGCUGAGCACAAGUUCACAACUUCGACUCCUGGCAAUAGUGGUCGCAUUCCUAUUCGGACAGUAAAAAUGCUCGUGUACCGUGCUUCGGGUGCACGUUAAAUAACGGCCAUGUGACCAAAGUUAAUCCAAAGCCCUCCACUACUCCA
Molecule: unclassified non-coding RNA, 1674 nt
Filed under: Dermacentor andersoni
Lineage: Eukaryota; Metazoa; Arthropoda; Arachnida; Ixodida; Ixodidae
Description: bEN domain-containing protein 5-like
Source: RNAcentral